This 435-nucleotide ribosomal RNA is filed under the name uncultured bacterium. RNAcentral describes it as "bacterial SSU rRNA". It matches the Rfam family "Bacterial small subunit ribosomal RNA", at positions 355 to 787 of the family's 1533-position model. The record is from RNAcentral.
UGAGGAAUAUUGGUCAAUGGGCGCGAGCCUGAACCAGCCAAGUAGCGUGAAGGAUGACUGCCCUAUGGGUUGUAAACUUCUUUUAUAGGGGAAUAAAGUUGGCCACGUGUGGCCUUUUGUAUGUACCUUAUGAAUAAGGAUCGGCUAACUCCGUGCCAGCAGCCGCGGUAAUACGGAGGAUCCGAGCGUUAUCCGGAUUUAUUGGGUUUAAAGGGAGCGUAGGCGGGGGCUUAAGUCAGUUGUGAAAGUUUGCGGCUCAACCGUAAAAUUGCAGUUGAUACUGGGUCCCUUGAGUGCGGCAGAGGCAGGCGGAAUUCGUGGUGUAGCGGUGAAAUGCUUAGAUAUCACGCAGAACUCCGAUUGCGAAGGCAGCAUACCGGCGCUCAACUGACGCUCAGGCACGAAAGCGUGGGUAUCGAACAGGAUUAGAUACCC